CAGCCGCCGCGGUAAUACGUAGGUGGCAAGCGUUGUCCGGAAUUAUUGGGCGUAAAGGGCUCGCAGGCGGUUUCUUAAGUCUGAUGUGAAAGCCCCCGGCUCAACCGGGGAGGGUCAUUGGAAACUGGGAAACUUGAGUGCAGAAGAGGAGAGUGGAAUUCCACGUGUAGCGGUGAAAUGCGUAGAGAUGUGGAGGAACACCAGUGGCGAAGGCGACUCUCUGGUCUGUAACUGACGCUGAGGAGCGAAAGCGUGGGGAGCGAACAGGAUUAGAGACCCGUGUAGUCCCUGUCUCUUAUAC
RNAcentral lists this ribosomal RNA (301 nucleotides) under uncultured bacterium. Its description in RNAcentral is "partial 16S ribosomal RNA". It matches the Rfam family "Bacterial small subunit ribosomal RNA", at positions 509 to 807 of the family's 1533-position model. The record is from RNAcentral.